This 27-nucleotide non-coding RNA is filed under the name Rattus norvegicus (Norway rat). Lineage: Eukaryota; Metazoa; Chordata; Mammalia; Rodentia; Muridae. The record is from RNAcentral.
AGAAAGAAAAUGGAAAGGCUGUGCGGU